AAAAAAGGUAAGCUACUAAGAGCGAAUGGUGGAUGCCUUGACUGGUAAAGGCGAUGAAGGACGUACUAGACUGCGAUAAGCUACGGGGAGCUGUCAAGAAGCUUUGAUCCGUAGAUUUCCGAAUGGGGCAACCCAAUGUAUAGAGAUAUACAUUACCUAUAUAGGAGCGAACGAGGGGAAUUGAAACAUCUUAGUACCCUCAGGAAAAGAAAUCAAUAGAGAUUGCGUCAGUAGCGGCGAGCGAAAGCGUAAGAGGGCAAACCCAGUGCUUGCACUGGGGGUUGUAGGACUGCAAUGUGCAAGAGGUGAGUUUAGCAGAACAUUCUGGAAAGUAUAGCCAUAGAGGGUGAUAGUCCCGUAUGCGAAAAACAAACCUUAGCUAGCAGUAUCCUGAGUAGGGCGGGACACGAGAAAUCCUGUCUGAAGCUGGGUCGACCACGAUCCAACCCUAAAUACUAAUACCAGAUCGAUAGUGCACAAGUACCGUGAGGGAAAGGUGAAAAGAACUGAGGUGAUCAGAGUGAAAUAGAACCUGAAACCAUUUGCUUACAAUCAUUCAGAGCACUAUGUAGCAAUACAGUGUGAUGGACUGCCUUUUGCAUAAUGAGCCUGCGAGUUGUGGUGUCUGGCAAGGUUAAGCAAACGCGAAGCCGUAGCGAAAGCGAGUCUGAAUAGGGCGCUUAGUCAGAUGCUGCAGACCCGAAACGAAGUGAUCUAUCCAUGAGCAAGUUGAAGCUAGUGUAAGAACUAGUGGAGGACUGAACCCAUAGGCGUUGAAAAGCCCCGGGAUGACUUGUGGAUAGGGGUGAAAGGCCAAUCAAACUUCGUGAUAGCUGGUUCUCUCCGAAAUAUAUUUAGGUAUAGCGUUGUGUCGUAAUAUAAGGGGGUAGAGCACUGAAUGGGCUAGGGCAUACACCAAUGUACCAAACCCUAUCAAACUCCGAAUACCUUAUAUGUAAUCACAGCAGUCAGGCGGCGAGUGAUAAAAUCCGUCGUCAAGAGGGAAACAACCCAGACUACCAGCUAAGGUCCCUAAAUCUUACUUAAGUGGAAAACGAUGUGAAGUUACUUAAACAACCAGGAGGUUGGCUUAGAAGCAGCCAUCCUUUAAAGAAAGCGUAAUAGCUCACUGGUCUAGUGAUUUUGCGCGGAAAAUAUAACGGGGCUAAAGUAAGUACCGAAGCUGUAGACUUGAUUUUAUCAAGUGGUAGGAGAGCGUUCUAUUUGCGUCGAAGGUAUACCGGUAAGGAGUGCUGGAGCGAAUAGAAGUGAGCAUGCAGGCAUGAGUAGCGAUAAUUAAUGUGAGAAUCAUUAACGCCGUAAACCCAAGGUUUCCUACGCGAUGCUCGUCAUCGUAGGGUUAGUCGGGUCCUAAGUCGAGUCCGAAAGGGGUAGACGAUGGCAAAUUGGUUAAUAUUCCAAUACCAACAUUAGUGUGCGAUGGAAGGACGCUUAGGGCUAAGGGGGCUAGCGGAUGGAAGUGCUAGUCUAAGGUCGUAGGAGGUUAUACAGGCAAAUCCGUAUAACAAUACUCCGAGAACUGAAAGGCUUUUUGAAGUCUUCGGAUGGAUAGAAGAACCCCUGAUGCCGUCGAGCCAAGAAAAGUUUCUAAGUUUAGCUAAUGUUGCCCGUACCGUAAACCGACACAGGUGGGUGGGAUGAGUAUUCUAAGGCGCGUGGAAGAACUCUCUUUAAGGAACUCUGCAAAAUAGCACCGUAUCUUCGGUAUAAGGUGUGGUUCGCUUCGUAUUAGGAUUUACUCCGAAAGCGAAGAAACUUACAACAAAGAGUCCCUCCCGACUGUUUACCAAAAACACAGCACUCUGCUAACUCGUAAGAGGAUGUAUAGGGUGUGACGCCUGCCCGGUGCUCGAAGGUUAAUUGAUGGGGUUAGCAUUAGCGAAGCUCUUGAUCGAAGCCCGAGUAAACGGCGGCCGUAACUAUAACGGUCCUAAGGUAGCGAAAUUCCUUGUCGGUUAAAUACCGACCUGCAUGAAUGGCGUAACGAGAUGGGAGCUGUCUCAAAGAGGGAUCCAGUGAAAUUGUAGUGGAGGUGAAAAUUCCUCCUACCCGCGGCAAGACGGAGAGACCCCGUGGACCUUUACUACAGCUUGACACUGCUAUUUGGAUAAGAAUGUGCAGGAUAGGUGGGAGGCUUUGAGUAUAUGACGCCAGUUGUAUAUGAGCCAUUGUUGAGAUACCACUCUUUCUUAUUUGGGUAGCUAACCAGCUUGAGUUAUCCUCAAGUGGGACAAUGUCUGGUGGGUAGUUUGACUGGGGCGGUCGCCUCCCAAAUAAUAACGGAGGCUUACAAAGGUUGGCUCAGAACGGUUGGAAAUCGUUCGUAGAGUAUAAAGGUAUAAGCCAGCUUAACUGCAAGACAUACAAGUCAAGCAGAGACGAAAGUCGGUCUUAGUGAUCCGGUGGUUCUGUGUGGAAGGGCCAUCGCUCAAAGGAUAAAAGGUACCCCGGGGAUAACAGGCUGAUCUCCCCCAAGAGCUCACAUCGACGGGGAGGUUUGGCACCUCGAUGUCGGCUCAUCGCAUCCUGGGGCUGGAGCAGGUCCCAAGGGUAUGGCUGUUCGCCAUUUAAAGCGGUACGCGAGCUGGGUUCAGAACGUCGUGAGACAGUUCGGUCCCUAUCUGCCGUGGGCGUAAGAAGAUUGAAGAGAUUUGACCCUAGUACGAGAGGACCGGGUUGAACAAACCACUGGUGUAGCUGUUGUUCUGCCAAGAGCAUCGCAGCGUAGCUAAGUUUGGAAAGGAUAAACGCUGAAAGCAUCUAAGCGUGAAGCCAACUCUAAGAUGAAUCUUCUCUAAGCUCUCUAGAAGACUACUAGUUUGAUAGGCUGGGUGUGUAAUGGAUGAAAGUCCUUUAGCUGACCAGUACUAAUAGAGCGUUUGGCUUAUCUUUAAUAAAGCAU
RNAcentral lists this ribosomal RNA (2923 nucleotides) under Campylobacter coli. RNAcentral describes it as "23S ribosomal RNA". It matches the Rfam family "Bacterial large subunit ribosomal RNA". The record is from RNAcentral. Lineage: Bacteria; Pseudomonadati; Campylobacterota; Epsilonproteobacteria; Campylobacterales; Campylobacteraceae.